This is a non-coding RNA of Trichuris suis (pig whipworm), 73 nucleotides long. NCBI's taxonomy places the organism in Eukaryota, Metazoa, Nematoda, Enoplea, Trichinellida, Trichuridae. The record is from Rfam.
CGCCCACCGCCUGGAACUUUCGUCUCAACCUUGGUUAUUGGAAAGGUGAGCAAAGUUUCAGGUGUGUCGGCGA